This 627-nucleotide ribosomal RNA is filed under the name Lactobacillus sp. CIA-40BC. RNAcentral's name for it is "bacterial SSU rRNA". It matches the Rfam family "Bacterial small subunit ribosomal RNA", at positions 586 to 1214 of the family's 1533-position model. Lineage: Bacteria; Bacillati; Bacillota; Bacilli; Lactobacillales; Lactobacillaceae. The record is from RNAcentral.
AGCUGAGUGAAAGCCUUCGGCUCAACCGAAGAAGUGCAUCGGAAACUGGGAAACUUGAGUGCAGAAGAGGACAGUGGAACUCCAUGUGUAGCGGUGAAAUGCGUAGAUAUAUGGAAGAACACCAGUGGCGAAGGCGGCUGUCUGGUCUGUAACUGACGCUGAGGCUCGAAAGUAUGGGUAGCAAACAGGAUUAGAUACCCUGGUAGUCCAUACCGUAAACGAUGAAUGCUAAGUGUUGGAGGGUUUCCGCCCUUCAGUGCUGCAGCUAACGCAUUAAGCAUUCCGCCUGGGGAGUACGGCCGCAAGGCUGAAACUCAAAGGAAUUGACGGGGGCCCGCACAAGCGGUGGAGCAUGUGGUUUAAUUCGAAGCUACGCGAAGAACCUUACCAGGUCUUGACAUACUAUGCAAAUCUAAGAGAUUAGACGUUCCCUUCGGGGACAUGGAUACAGGUGGUGCAUGGUUGUCGUCAGCUCGUGUCGUGAGAUGUUGGGUUAAGUCCCGCAACGAGCGCAACCCUUAUUAUCAGUUGCCAGCAUUAAGUUGGGCACUCUGGUGAGACUGCCGGUGACAAACCGGAGGAAGGUGGGGAUGACGUCAAAUCAUCAUGCCCCUUAUGACCCUGGGC